Neodiprion fabricii is the source of this 950-nucleotide long non-coding RNA. RefSeq lists it as uncharacterized. The record is from RefSeq and is a predicted model, not a curated record. NCBI's taxonomy places the organism in Eukaryota, Metazoa, Arthropoda, Insecta, Hymenoptera, Diprionidae. The transcript is spliced from 4 exons.
CCUUUGCCAUGCUAUUUCAGAGGACAUUCGCGCGAUCUUACUCAGUGUACAGUCGACAAUAGGCUCGUAAUAUGCCUAUUCCCAGUCGACUUGACAUAGUUGACUGAAAAUUUCUUUCGAUAUUAAGUCAACUAACAGCCAACGGUGUGAUACAUGGGACAUGAGUGAUCGGCCUGCUCCCAAGGAACAAUAGAAUCCCUGAAUUCGUGACGUACCUACACAGAAAAGUUGCUCGGAGACAAUCGGUAAUGAUCUUCUCUACCGGGGAGUUAUACUUCAACUGAAACAACCAAAUGUAGGAUGAAGGACUGAAAAGGAUUGGUUAUUUCGUAGCCGGUACUUCCUAAUUAAGACUCGGGUGCCGCAUUGAGCUGAUAGGGAUGGGUCACGUGUGGAUGCACCGAUUACGCGGCUUUAAGAACGCUUCAAGUAACGCAUACAAACUGCAAGAUUAUUACGCAGGCAAAGCUAAGAUAGAUCAUACAUACGAUAAGGACAAAGAUUACGUUAAAUCAGAAGUAUUUGAUUUUACCGUGACUUGAACCGGGGAUCAAACGAUUGUAAAAUUCAUCUAAAAUCUGAAAUUAUUCUGGAUUACUGAAAAAUUUUCCUUCGAUAUCCAAUAAUUUCAUCAAUUUUAUUCAAAGCCAUUAUCAUUCAACGAACAUUCUUUUCAGGCGAAACUACCCACCUGGUGAUGGAUACCCGUUAUAUCGAUCACGCUGAUAAGAUCGCAUCGUAAAAGAAAAUUCAAGCACGUAAUUUUAGUUAGUCUACACGUCAUGGUCUUCCUUGGGUUGGCCAAGUGAAAGGGAGUCACCCACUCACAGCCCCUUAAUAACGGCAAAGAGGGCAUAUUUUUAAGAGGAUUGGUCUUUUUCUUCUUGCUUGUGAAACGAUCAACCUUUUUUCUAACGUUGUACGAUGUAUUUGUGAAUCUAGAAAACGGA